RNAcentral lists this long non-coding RNA (6412 nucleotides) under Sus scrofa (pig). Its description in RNAcentral is "lncRNA (ENSSSCG00025042335.1)". Lineage: Eukaryota; Metazoa; Chordata; Mammalia; Artiodactyla; Suidae. The record is from RNAcentral.
UUUUUUUUUUUUUUUUUUUUUUUGGCCUUUUCUAGGGCCGCACCCUUGGCAUACGGAGGUUCCCAGGCUAGAGGUCUAAUCGGAGCUGUAGCUGCCAGCCUACACCACAGCCACAGCAACACCGGAUCCUUAAACCGCUGAGCAAGGCCAGGGAUCGAACCCGAGUCCUCAUGGAUACUAGUCAAUUUGUUACCACUGAGCUGCAACGGGAACUCCUCCUCUUUACUCCUUGUGUUCAUUUCUCCCCUCGCCCUACCUCUGGCAAAAACCGAACUCUUUACUGUCUCCAUAGUAUUGCCUCUUCCAGAACGCCAUGUUGUUGAAAUCAUACAGAAUAUAGUCUUUUCAGAUGGGCUUCUUUUACUUAAUAAUAUGCUUUUAAAGUUCCUCAUGUUGUUUCUUUUUUUAUGAUUUUUAUUUUUUCCAUCAUAGCUGGUUUACAGUGUUCUGUCAUUUUUCGACGGUACAGCAAGGUGACCCAGUCACACAUAUGUAUAUACAUUCUUUAUCUUACAUUAUCAUUCUCCAUCAUAAAAGACUAGAUAUAGUUCCCAGUGCUAUACAGCAGCAUUUCAUUGCUUAUCCAUUCCAAAGGCAAUAGUCUGCAUCUAUUAACCCCAAAUUCCCAGUCCAUCCCACUCCCUCUCCCUCCCCCUUGGCAACCACACGUCUGUUCUCUGAGCCCAUGAGUUUAAGUUCUUUAUUUUAGAGGAGUCAUUAUGGUGAAUGGGCAUCGAGCCUGGAAAAUGUGUAUCAUUUUCCUUUGGGCUUUUAAAGUGACAGACUUCAUUCUUCUGUAUCGUGCACUCAGGGACUUCCCUCUGAUGCUUGAAAGAGGUGGAUGUGACAGUGAGGCAUCCCCAUGAACUUGGGAGGAAAGGAAAUAUAGUUGCCUUCCUAACUGAACUAAUAAAACCCAAAUAUCACCUACCUCUGGAACCCAACAACCAGGUAAGGAGUGUGGUUAUCAGGGAGUAGUACCAAACGGGGACUUCAGGGAAGGGGCCUUUGGCUUCGUCUUCGGUAGAGAGAUACCAAAUUUGGUCACAUGGACAAUCCAGCCACUAGGCAGAGAUUCUCGUGUGGAGUGAAGAUGUUUCACCUGGCCUCAGUGGAACCUGAAGGAAGUCGAAGGGUCCCUCAAAUGUCUGCUCGAAUCUGUGCUUAUGCAGCAACUUUCUGAUUCCUAAUUCAACCUAUAAAGCAUACCUAUAGCAGAAAGGAAGUGUCUUGAACAUCUGGAAAGAAGUGUCCCUUAUUGUUAAUCAAUAAACUGGAAUUCUAAUCUGUACAUCUGUAUUGUAUGAAUACAAUCAUUGUGAGUCUGUCAUCAAGUGCUAGGUCACCUUUGAAUAUACUGGUAAAGCCAAGUUUCUGGACAAGAAAAGCUUGUGAGGAAUGGAUUCUGAACUGUGGCAAGUUUUCCAAAGUAAUUUAUAUAUAUGCGUGUAUUUAUUUGUAUGUGGGUGUAUAUAUAUAUGUACGUAUAUACACAUAUAUGUGUGUAUGUAUUUUUUAAUUAAAAGGAGUUCCCGUCGGGGCAUAGCGGAAACGAAUCUGACUAGGAACCGUGAGGUUGCAGAUUUGAUCCCUGACCUUGCUCAGUGGGUUAAGGAUCCGGCAUUGCCAUGAGCUGGGCUGUAGGUGGCAGACUCGGCUUGGGUCUGGGUUGCUGUGGCUCUGGUGUAGGCUGGCAGCCGUAGCUCUGAUUCGACCCCUAGCCUGGGAACCUCCCUAUGCCUCGGAUAGGGCCCUAAAAACAACUAAAUAAAAUAAAAUAAAAUAAAAUAAAAUAAAAUAAAGUAAAAUAAAAAUUGGCCAAGCCUACCUCUGGCCUGCAGAAGUUCCCAGACCAGAAAUCGAACACUGGAUCCUGAACCACUAGGCCAUCAGGGAACACCUCUUAUUUAUAUUUAAAAAAACCCCUCAUGAUCAUCAGUCUUGUGGGCCGCCUCAUGUGUUCCCAUACACUCCGUCAGCAGUUUUAGGAAUAGUCUCAGUAAGCCUUUCUUGCAACAGUUAGUUGGUAAAUAAUACAGCGCGUGCAUCCACUCCAGAACUGAUGAUGAAAAUUGGUUUUAGGAAACGUGUAGAUUAGCGAUGACAAACACAGAGCGUUCUUGCUACCACUCCUCUGUCCUGUAUUCGUGACAGGCAUUACUAAUUGGUAAUAACACGCUGUCCUACUGAAGUUUGACUGACUGUAAAACUCUUCUGAAGAUGUUAGUCCGGGAAGUCACAACCGGUGGCCUCGCUUGGAUCCGUGUGAGGCCAAACUCUGCUCUUCCUCAGUUAGGUGAAUUGCUAGGGACUCUGGUUGACAAAAUCCCGCUUGAAUGGACCUAAAGGAUGGCUUAUCUUUUGAGUUUGAUGUCACGGGGAAAGCCCAUAUGCUCUUUGACCAAAAGUCCCUUGGAUAUUUGACAGAAAUCAUACCAGACUAGAUAAAUUGACGGAAAUGAUCAGAAUGGAGUUAUCUAGACCACAGACACAUUCAGAGUCGCGAUGUCAACCAGGAAAGAAUUUUCAAGGGAACUUAGAGGUCAUCGCCAGGUUUACAUCCAAGCUCUUCCUCUUACUGAGCGUGUGGCAAGUUCCUCAGCAUCUUUGAGCCUUGACAUCCUCCUGUGAAAACUCACAUCCAGCUCCUAAGUUUGAGACGACCAAGAUAGAUGACACAUGCAAAGGGUUUGCAAAUGGGGAACGUACAAAUGCUUCCUCCUCUUGUUAUAAAUAUUCGACACCAAUCAGAACUCUCUUCUCAAAUCUCUCCGGAUGCUACUUGAAUAGUUCUGGUGAAGGGAAGCUCGCAAGGCAUUCCAUACUGAGCUGCUCUAGUUCCUAAAAAGCGUGUCUUUAUUUUCUCUCCUUCUGUCUGUCUUCCUUCCUUUCUUCCUUUUUAGGGCUGCGCCCUCGGCACAAGAAAGUUCCCAGGCGAGGGGUCAAAUCGGAGCUACUAGCCGCCAGUCUACACCACAGCCACAGCAACAUGGGAUCCGCGCCGUGUUUGCGACCUACACCACAGCUCACAGCAACACCACUGAGCGAGGCUAGAGAUCGAACCCGCAUCCUCCUGGAUACGAGUUGCAUUCGUUUCCACUGCACCACAGCGGGAACUCCCAAAGUAUGUCUUUAUAUUGAUUGGAAAAUCUGCCACCCAAUGUAGCUUGCAUUUUGCCCCUCAGAACGUAGCUUUGAAAUCUUUUCCAUAUUUGAAGAGGAAUACUCUACCUUUCUAAAUCUUUUAUUUUUUCUAAGCCUAAAGGAUCAUGUGUUCAUUCAGUUGUUCCUUAGACGACACUUCCAUUAUCAUCGAGGUCGCCAUAACUUGGAUCACUUCCAAAUUUGCAGGGUUUAUUUGGCCUCUUUUUUUCUGUCACUAGUAUUAGUUCAAAGAAUAUAUAUAUAUAUAUUCCUAUAUAUAUAAAAUGUAUAAUUACAUAUAGUAUAGUAUAGGAAUAUAUAAUAUAUACUAUAUGUAAUGUGUAAUAUAUAUGUAUUCAUAUAUAUGUAAAGGAUGCAUAUUAACUAUGUUUUAUUCCUUUGCAUCAAUCUCCAUCAUAAUAUUCCCUCUGGAGCUAUGGUACAGAAUUUCUUGUUUUCCUAUCAAAUCUUUAGAAAUUAUUUAAACUUAGUAGCGAAUCAUUAGUAAUACAAUCCUUCUCAUUUCUUGGUUUCAGGGCUUGCUUGCAGACUGGCUCAGGUGUCUUGAACACAUUUUAAUGGAAACUUGUUUUUCUCACCUUUUGGGUUCACCCUCUUGGGUGUGGGACCAAGGCUUGUCACUCAGGUGUUUCUGAUUGUGGCGUUGAUUAACUGGUUGGCUCCUAAGCUGUAAUUAUCUUCCUCCUUCAAUUAAAAUCACAUUUCUAUAUUACAACACCAGAUAUUGCAAAAUCUAAUGAUACGCAUUGGAUAUUUAUUCCCUCUAAGCAACUUUCCCUGACAAUUCAUAUUUUUUUCUUCUGGGUAGUUCAACUGUUAGGUGCUGAGAAGGACAUUCUUCCCAACUAAAGAUUGAUCACUGGGCACUUUUGUGCUAUUGUUUUUUUCUGUUUUCCUUUGAUCUCACUUGCUGUCGUAUAGUGAUUAAAGUGAACUCUAUCAUUAUUUCCAGCUUAGAGAAUGUCGAGAGACUUAGGCACUAGAGGCAUAUUGAUGUGACAGCGUAAUUGGUGCCGAAUGAAAUAUUUAGGCAACGUAUGCUUUUAUUUUAAACUGUGCCAAGAUGGGCUUGAUUAAUAGCUUUAAUUGGAUUUUUUUUCCCUUUUUUCAUCCACACUGGAUCCAAGCUGCAUCUGUGACCUCCACCGCAGCUUGCAGCAACCCUGGGUCCUUUACCCACAGAGGGAGGCCAGGGAUUGGACCCACAUCCUCACGGAGACUACGUUGGGUCCUUAACCCUCUGAGUCAGCACAGGAACUCCCUUAAUUGGAUUUUACGCAGUACUUUCCCCUGAAUUUUUCAGUCAUUUGGACAAUGUGUAAACUGAGUGUGAUGUUUCUAAGCAUUGCUUCAACCACCAUGUAUUUGGCAUACCUACAUUCUGCCAGACACUGCAUUAAGUGCCAGGCAUUUAUUUCUGCAUGGCCAAUAAUACACCGCCCUGCUUCUAAGGACACACAAACUCGGCUUCUGAAAAUACAGUUCAGACGACUGUGGUUAAGGAAUAGAGGGUUCACGGAGGCUUACUCAGCAUUGGGGGAAAGCCUCCUGGGGGAGAUGGUCUUUGGUCCCCUCCUUGCCUACCCACUGCACUUGACAGCACACACUGAGAUGUCAUAGACUCGUCCAGGCUCAAAUGCUUCUUCCGCCAGAAGAGUGGCCCUGAUCCUCCUGCCCUAGCCCUGUGUAUUCUUUCCCUCUUGCGGCACCUCAUCUGCACUUUCUCUCAUAGGCAAGUCUCUUGGUACCUUAAGGUAAGGUUAUUUGCAUGUAUCCCUGGGUUUGCUCACGGUUGUUUCCGUUUACAGAGACCCAAGCAGCUGCAGUGACAACGCCGGAUCCUUAGCCUGCUGUGCCACAAGAGAACUCCACAGAAGUCUUAUUUUAGAUAGAACAUAUUGGUCAGCUAAGGGAGAACAAGUUCUAUUUUAGUCUAGGUUGCUAGGCAUGUUGAGAUUUUAGACUCAAUUUUUUUUUUUUUUUUCUGAAAAGCCAGUCUUCCCUCAGUUGCUUGAAGAGAACUCAGUUUUUUAUCCAUAGCUAUUUGGAUUGCCUGUGUACAAAGCACACUCUAAUGAUGAAUAAGAUUUUGAGGUUGCUUCUACACAUCAGUGUACACUUGAAUGUACACUUUUUUUUUCCCUUAUAAGACUUCAUAGAAAUCGUGUUACUCUAUUUUGUGAAAACAACUCCUAAUACUCUUUAGGUGGAUGGGAAAACGUCCUUAGGUUCAUCUGCUUAAAAAAAAAGUCAUGAAUUGAAAGACUGCUUAUUGAAACUGAAGAUCACUUUCUACUGAAUCAUCAGGAACAGUAUAUUGAGCAAUGUGAUUUUUAUCAAUAUGCCUUGUGAAAUUGCCAAAGUAGGAGUUGUAUGUUUUGUUUUAUUAUUAUUUUUCAAUUUUUAAUUUUUUUUUGUCUUUUGUUUUUUUUGGGCUGUACCCGCAGCAUAUGAAUGUUCCCAGGUCCGGAGUCCAAUCGGAGCUGAAGCCGCUGGCCUACGCCAGCACCACACCAACUCGGGACCGAGCCAAGGCUGCGACCUACACCACAGCUCACGGCAACACUGGAUCCUUAACCCACUGAGCAAGGCCAGGGAUCGAACCUGUAUCCUCAUGGAUACCAGUCGGAUUCAUUAACUGCUGAGCCACGAUGGGAACUCCGGGUGUUGUAUAUUUUAGAUAAAAAAUUUAUGUCUCCAAUGACUGUCAGGUAUCUUGAAGAUGUUCUGAAGAUAUUCAUAGAAUCCAUUGAAUUUCUCAGUAAAAUGCAAACAACUUCUUAAUGAGUGUUAAGAGUUCCUGAUGGAGUAAUUCCUUUAUUAAUAUUUAAAGAGAAUACGGUAAGUGGCAUUCAUUUCCGUGUGACUUAUGCAUUUAAAAAAAUAAAGUAACCAAAAUUACUAGAUUCAGAUUAAACACAGAGCAUCUUCUUAGUGCCUCCUAUGUGAUGGCCACUGCUUAGCUACUGUGCAUUAAUGGCCGUGUGUUUGCAUUCUAUAAGUUUUAUAUAUUUACUCUGAAUUUUGUAAUCUAUUGCAUAUAAAGCAUUGCAUUUACUUAGGGUUUUGCCAAAAGUUAUACUAUGCUUGUUAAAGGGAAAAAAAAAAACCCCUAAGAUUAUGAAUGAUAAUCCCCAAGAAUGUGGAAAAAAUAUGUAUAUAAAUGUAUAACUGGGUCACUUUGCUGUACAGCAGAAAUUGGCAGAACACUGUAGAUUAGCUACAAUAAAAAUCUUAAAAAAAAAAA